Aegilops tauschii subsp. strangulata is the source of this 1506-nucleotide non-coding RNA. The record is from RefSeq and is a predicted model, not a curated record. Lineage: Eukaryota; Viridiplantae; Streptophyta; Magnoliopsida; Poales; Poaceae.
UUAAUAAUCUAUUCCAAUUUUUUAACUGAUGAUUGUUAUUUUCUACUCCCUCCGUUUUAAAAUAGAUGACCCAACUUUGUACAAGUUAGUACUCCCUCCGUCCGGGAAAAGUUGUCUUCGUGGUCAUUUUACAAAAACAUCCUCAGCUAAUUCCUGACAAACGACGCACCCCCGCCGCUCGUCUCCCCCGCUCGCUCCCCUGCUCGGCUCCCCGCGCCGGAGCUCUCCCGCGCAGCUUCCUCGAGCGUCGCCGGAGCUCCCCCUCCUUGGUCCCCUCCGCCGCUUUGCUUUCCCGCGCCCAAGGCUCGUUUUUUCCCGAUCUGCUCUCCGCCGGACGAGGACGCGCCCUUCCCCGAUGGUGGCGAGCCGGAGCUGGCCCUUCCCGGCGUUGAACUCGUCCACAUCGCCGUCAACCUCGUCCCUGCCAACCUCACCGCCAACCUCGUCGACCUCGCCGCCAACCUCAUCCAGCUCGCCGCCAACCUCGUCGGACGGCAGAAGCUCUCCACUUUCCCCCUACGGCAGAAGCUCUCCCCCACUCCCGCCCCCGCAAAGACAGAGUAAAGAUUCUUCUAUGAUCAAUGCAAAGACUAAUGGAGAUAAUGGCUAGUGCAAAGGAGUCUAUUUGGAUAGUGGAAGGGGAAUCAGAUUGCCUCGGGGGACAAAUUUGACUAAGGAGCAGCAGCAGUAGCACAAGGAGCAACUCCUUACAGUACAAUUUUGGAGUACUCUUGGUGUAAAUCAACUUCGCUAAUUUUCAGGUACAGUACUCUGAUGGAACAACAAAGAUUUCACAAAGAACAGCAAAGAUUUCACAAAGUACAGUGCUUACAUCAGUCUGCUGAUAAUGCAAUUCACACUAUAACUGAAACUGCAAUUGACACAGGUUCAGAUCAAUCAGCCACAAUCGGUCCAUUUUUCAGGAAGUACCUGCAGUCAACAGCAGUGGCAGAGGCAGUCGCCGAUAGCAGCAGGAGAUGCAGUCGCCAACAGCAGUAGCAGGUCCGCGCGGACUCGAUCGGGCGGGCUGCAGCGGCAGCAGUAGGUGGCGGGCGACGGCAGCGGCAGCAACAGGUCCCGCCACCGGGGAAGACCCGCGUGGCCCUGCCUGCCGAAGUCAGCGAGAGGGGAACGACGUCUGGGGUUGCCGCAGGCGCGAGGAACCGGCGCCGGCGAGGAGCGCGACGAGGAGGAGGUGCCCGUCGAGGUGGUCGCCUUGGAGGAGCAGCCGCAGUCGGGGUCGGGCUCCUCGAUGACGCAGGCGGCGCCGGCGCUGGAGGCGAUGCUGCUGCCCCGCUCGCCGGCCGUGCUCGAGCCCCUCGAUCUCCUCCCUCCUCCGGGACGCGGCCGUGCUGCUCCUCGGUGAUCCUGGACGCGGACGCGGCCGUCCUCCUCAGCGAUCCCGUGGCCGACGGCGGCGGCGAAGUCCGCGGGCAGGUCAGCGGGGCGGAGGGAGAGCGCGGCCGGGGCCGGACGGUGGACGGAUCGGGCGACGAAGGAAGGAGG